RNAcentral lists this long non-coding RNA (5400 nucleotides) under Gallus gallus (chicken). Lineage: Eukaryota; Metazoa; Chordata; Aves; Galliformes; Phasianidae. The record is from RNAcentral.
AGCAAAGUGAACUUGAUUACAAUUUAGAUCAGAUCUUUUACCACUUGUCAUUUCUGAAGAAUCAGAACAUGGACACCAAGUGAUACAAAGCUAGAAGCUCAUUUUAUUUCUGUUUCUUCUCUGUCUUCUUCACCUUCUUAGUGGUCUUCUUCUGGAGCUUCUUAAUUUCAUGCUUAAUGAUCCUGUUUCUCAUUUUCUUUGCCUUCAUAACCUUGUAACGAUCGAAGUCAGUCAUUUUGGCUUUCUUUUCUCUGGCUUCAAUCUUCUUCGCCCAUCGUGUUGCUGCCCACUUCUCAUUUAUAUUCUCCUUCUCCCAGGCACGACGCACACACUUCUGACGAGCGCUGUGCGGGAACUUGAGAACAAAGUCAGUCAGCUGCAUGCACUUGAAGGGCAUGGCUUGUCUUCUGACACCACUGCAGGGGCCAUCCACUAGCGCCCUGUUCUGGUCGAUAACAUCCACGAUGGCCACCAGCUUGCCAGCAUGCCUCCCGAAGGAGACGAAGGCGAUUCUGCCGAUCUCGACGAAGCGUUUGAACACCAUGAUGGCCGCCCGCGAGCAGAAAGGGAAGGGCGGGCCCCGCGCCGGCCGGAAGCCGCCCUCGAGGCGCUACCGCGCAUGUGCGGAGGCGGGAUCGAGCUCGCCCUGCUCAGCGCGCCCGCGCGGAACGCUCUCUUCGGCUCAAGGCCGGUCAGGAAUGGCGGCGUGCCAAUACGCAUGCGCGGUGGGCUGCGCGGCUCUGCGUGCGUGUACGUGCUGGGGUGCGCUGCAGAGGUGGCGUGCAGCCAUGUCCCGAGAGACGGGCAGCCCGCGAGCAUCCGCACAGCGCUGCCACUGCGAACUGGUGCUGCUGCCGCACGAAGGUGCCACCGGGCCCUGCACACCAUCAGGGCGUGGCAGAAAAGCUCCGUCAGCUCGCUGUGUGCGCACGUACGUGUUCUGCAGGGUUUGAUUCUGUAAGCAUUAGCCAAAAACGUGCCGUGGGAAAGAAGAGAGUAAGCAAAAUGCACCGCAGAGCACUGAUGGAAAACAGGUCAAGUCUGCUGCACAUGCUGCCUUCUGGAUUCUUCUGUUCUGCAGUGAUCUGGAAAAAUAUUUCUCCUUUUCCUCAUUUGAUGAACCAAACCUCUGUGGGACUUUGCAAGAGGGAGGAAGGGAAGACGACAUAAAUCCCUAGACUUUUUAAAGACCUUUGCAUGCUUUAUGAUGGAGAUGCUCAAAUGUCACUCCUGACUGUGCCGAUGGCGUGGGCUGUGCCUUACGAUCAAGCAACAAAAACAUCUGAGAGCAGCAAUGCAGUGGCACGGAAAAUCAUUGCCAAAGCAAUGACGGAGUUACAGCUUCAGAGGAUAAAGGAAGAGCAACUGACGUCAUCUACCUGGAGUUGUGCAGUGUGUUUGACACUGACCUGCGUGACAUCCUGGUCACCAAACUGGAGAACAUUGGAGACAAGUGGCGUUCCUCAGGGAUCGGUGCUGGGAUGGGUGUCAUUUUGGGGUUCAAAAAAGCUUUCUCCCUUUAGUACGCUUUUAAAACUCUACCGUUAGCCUGCAGAAACGUUGCCAAGCAAGGAACUCUAAAUACAGCCCAUGUACUCAAACAGCACUGAACACUGUAGACAGCACGCAGAAGAAAGCAGUGGUAACUAAAGAUACAACGACAACAACAAAAGGCACACUUACCUGGGCCCAGCUCUGUGAACAGAAAAACCACAUACUCGAAUUGAAGUCAGUCAGAGUAAAGUGCCCAGUUAAAUUCAAAGCAUUGAUUGUAUAGUAGAAUCCUGAGAAAGCCUAUGGAAAAGGAGCAGACGAAAGGCCUGUUACUUUCGGAACUACUGAAAUCAAAAGCAAGAAUGUUCAGAAAGAAAUGCUGAUUUGGAAACCUACCACAAAAUUUCCUUUAACUUUUGGCUGAUGGAUUCCAUUAAAUGGACAGUCCUCCUGGCUUCUGCAAGUACUGAAGUUAAACAAUAAUGAAACCAUCUCCUGACACAGACCUGGGUCUCCUGUUCCAUGGUAGAUUACGGAUUGGUCUGGGUAAUAGUUUGUUGGUCUCAGAGACUGUGUACAAAGGCUUCCACAGAAGUACUUCACUGUUAAUGCAGUCUUGUAAUUCCGAGGGUAACAUGGAUUAUCCACACUGGAAUUGGUGCUUGAUUUCUGAAGAAAAACAAAGACUGCUAAAAAAGCAAGAAAGACCUAAUGUGAUGAUAACUACAGAAAUCUUUUUAACCCACAUACAUGUGUUCUUGUUCUCUUCUCUGUCAUGGCUGAACACCGUAAUUCAUAUGGACUCUUUUUCUCAAAACCAUCAUUAGCAAAAUCAGCAAAACUCUUACAGAACACAUUGACUUUUUUUUGUCUAAUGGUACAAAACCCAGAGCAAUAUUUAACAAAUAUGAAGACCUUUGAAAUCUAAGUACUUUUUGGCCACAGCAACACCAGCUUUUACUGCCAUCUCCAAACUUAACCAGAGGGAAAAGAUCACAACCCUAAGAACCUGCUUAGACAACUAUGGGACAGCUGCAAGAGCAGCAUAGCAAACGGUCUUAAACAGACCUGGAGCAACAAUGCUAAAAGCCUUUUCUCAGCUUCAUCUCUCCCAUAACACUGGAAGCUGUGAGUGUAGACAUUGUAGUCGUAACCAUACAACUUCACUUGCAUGGUGUUAUUGAAGUUCUCCUGAGAGUCCUCUGGGAUAAAAGAAAUCUGAGUGGAAGCUCCUCCGAGAUCCAGUGCACCCAUGGUCUCUCUUCUGUAUGGAUGGACCCAUGCCCUCCAAAGGUUCCUCUACACAUAAAAAUAAAAACAAAGCUAAUUAGAAAUAUAAUCAGAUAUUGCUCUCCCUUUAAACUCUUCUACUUUUAACUUAACUUUUUUAGACUUCCCCUCCCUUUUUGUCCUUUACUCUUUCUCAAAAAUCUUAGGUCUGAGUAAAACAUGCAGAUGUUGUUUUUAGGUAAGUGAGAAGUACUCCCACAGAGCAAAGAGUCUGAAAGAUGGAAAAAGUAAUACAGCAUAGCUUUAAACACCAAGGACAGCACAAUAAUCAAAGUACUGGACUAACCAGAUCAAUAUCUAUACUAGAAUGCAGGAAAUUGAAGUCUGGGGACCUGGGAGAUCUGAAUGAAAUUAGCAUGCAAAUGUGUUUGUUUCAAGGCAAGAUUAAUUACUAAAGGAAUAGAAUACUAUGAGAUCACACAGGAAAAGAGAAUGAAAGAGUAAAAUAGAAGUCAAAGGAACAUGAACCCCUAAUCUGUACAUUUCCUUCACUGAAACUGCAGUGGCAAUAAAUCCGAUCCAUUCAGUUGGCAUUUUUCCCUGUUACCCAAAACAUCCCCCAAAUUCUGCAUUUGAUCUACACAAUCACUGUGCAGAAUACCCUUUCUGCGUUAAUAAUUCUCUCCAUAUUUACUGAAGUAUAAUUUACUAUGGAUAAUGAUGUGAACAUAAACACAAGAAAGGAAAAGAAACAUGGGCUAGCAAACACGCUCAUGAAAAAAAUCUACAGUGAUAGAUUCCCCUUAAGAGCCCAUGGGAGAAUUUCACUCCUAUCUCCAGUCUUGUUACAAGAAUAGUGAGAAGCUACUUGCUCCUACUCGUGAUAAUCCACACUUUAGUCUUCACACAACUCUAUACUAAACUGGCUUCAAAACGUGUAGCAUUCUCUUCAGUAGUCCUCAUGAAUGUGUCAUAUGGAAAUUGAGAUCUUCAUUAUUAAAAUUCAUGUGAUACGAGACUGACAUCACCCCAAAGUUCAUGAAAUCAUUUUUUUUUUCUGCAUAAAAUAAGAAAAACCAUGCCAGAACAUGUGAUUCUACUAUUUAGUUUUCUUAACUUAGCAGGAACCAACAACACAUUCACCAUGAAGUAUCACUUGGAUUGCCAACUCCUGCUUACUAAUUUCCAUGACUGAACAGGAACCAUUCUACCAAGACAAUGAACAAUACUCAGAGGUCUGGUUGGAAUUAUUUUCAGCCUAGCAAGACUAUCUGGAAGAACUGCAAUAAAUGCUGAGAGCAGCACACAACUGCCAUGAAAGCCAGUUGCUGGUCAUCUCAAUACUGUUCUUACUGGGAAUUAAAAAAUUCCCAGAGAAAAUACUUCCUGUUAUGAAACACCUGCCUGACUCUCCUACAAGUUCAAGGCAAAGUGUAAGUAUCUUUACGUUGCUAUCACUCUAGACAAAAUAGGAGGACCCACUAACUGAUCUUCCCUCCCGAGUCUAGACCUGACAGUUGAUGUCAGCCUGCAGCUUUUCAGCAGUACUGUAAUGAACUGUAUGGGUGAUUUCUGGCCCAGCUGAGGCAUAUUGGGCCACAUAAAAUUCACUGCUUAAGACAACUGUCUUUUUUAGUUAAGACAAAUGAGCUAACAUUGCCAAACAGUUUGGAAACUUCUAAGCUGCGUAGGCUUUUCACCAGUAGAGAUGCAGAGACAGCAACUACCUGCACAAGUCACAGAAAAGAAGGUGGAAACAUCCUUAAUUGGCACCACUGUCAAGAUAGUCAACAUUCAUCACAUUUUAAAAUACUGAUGCAUUUAAGAGCAGUGCAAUUUCUGUUUCUACAUAAGGCAUUGAUGUCAUUUAUGGAAGAGCCCUGUUUAGUGGAUCCACAGUUUUACCUUUCCCAGGUCAGAUUUCUGUCACAUCUUUUCAUCUACGCUUUCUUUGUUCAAUUACUACCACAACAAGACCCUGUUAUGUAUUUCACUGUGAAGUGAAAAUUAUAGCUAUGAUGUUUUAACAGGCAUUUUCUCUCAGACCUCUCAUUUAUAAGAAAGAGAACAGUGAAAAGCAUGCAUUUUUUCCACACACCUCUAAGAAAUUGCCCAUUAAAUAGUUGGCUGUUAUCCAUCCAUACACCCCUUCCUCUGGCCCAGUUAUGAUAUGCGCACCCCUAAAUUGAAAAGGUUGUGCUCUGAAGUAGUUUUGAAUGCUUGCAAGGACUUCGUUGGCUGCUGUUUCAUUUUGCAACCUAAGCAAUUCACAAAACAUGAGACGCUGAGCAUCUGGAAAGGUAAUUUCAUGUUUAGUCUUCACUGCCUAGCAGCUCAAGAAAAGCCUUAUAAUCACCUAAUAAAAACUGACAUUGUUUUAGCCUAAAGGGGAAGCUUAUUAUAGGGAACAGCCAAGCACCCAGCAUCAUUGCAGCAAGCAACUCGCCCACUAUAUACAAACUUUGCUCUUUAUCAUACAAGUUCAUAAAUAUUUUGUCUCAAACAUACUCUUUUUUCAGUGAACUGAGUGCUUGCAUGGUAUCUGUGAGCUAUACAGUCCUGCAAUCCUUCUUCUCACUCUGCUUAGUCAGAGAACAAAUGUAUAAAAAAAUUUGUGCCACAGCUGAAGCCAUAGACAGACCCCAAAAGCCACAUUACAUCACAUUCACACUAAGA